GGCUAUACCCGGGGAUUGUUUGUCUUGAAAACAAACUAAAAGUGUUCAACUCACUUAAUAGCCU
This 64-nucleotide transfer RNA is filed under the name Godlewskia godlewskia. Its description in RNAcentral is "tRNA-Ser". The record is from RNAcentral. Lineage: Eukaryota; Metazoa; Mollusca; Gastropoda; Littorinimorpha; Baicaliidae.